CUACGGGGGGCACCAGUGGGGAAUAUUGGACAAUGGGGGAAACCCUGAUCCAGCAAUGCCGCGUGUGUGAAGAAGGCCUGCGGGUUGUAAAGCACUUUCGGUUGGGAGGACUGCUUCUAGCACUAAUAUUGUUGGAAGUUGACGUUACCUUCAGAAGAAGCACCGGCUAACUCCGUGCCAGCAGCCGCGGUAAUACGGAGGGUGCAAGCGUAAAUCGGAAUUACUGGGCGUAAAGCGCGCGUAGGCGGCUAGAUCAGUCGGGUGUGAAAGCCCCGGGCUUAACGUGGGAACUGCAUCCGAUACUGUCUAGCUUGAGUACAGGAGAGGGGAGUGGAAUUCCACAUGUAGCGGUGAUAUGCGUAGAUAUGUGGAGGAACACCAAUGGCGAAGGCAGCUCUCUGGCCUGAUACUGACGCUGAGGUGCGAAAGCGUGGGGAGCAAACAGGAUUAAAUACCCGUGUAGUC
This 465-nucleotide ribosomal RNA is filed under the name uncultured bacterium. RNAcentral's name for it is "partial 16S ribosomal RNA". It matches the Rfam family "Bacterial small subunit ribosomal RNA", at positions 339 to 795 of the family's 1533-position model. The record is from RNAcentral.